CAUGUGUAAUUGUCUGAUAUACUGUAUAUUAAAUGUGUUCUGUAGUGAAUACACAUUCAAUCAUACUGGAUCAUCAACCAUAGAUGACAGUAGGUUUGGCAACUAGUUCAGGCGUCUUAAGUCAACAGAAAGAAGGCAGAGGCUAGAACAACUGGUGGAGGACCUGCACCACCACCACUGAUGCAUGCAGAGGAGAAGGCACUCAGCCUGAACACUGGAAAGUAGGGGCUGAAGGAAUUCCUGGAGGGAGUUCAUUAGAACCAGUCACUCCCCAGGAUACAAGUGCAUUUGUAAAAUGUUCUGAUGGUAAUAUCAGCCUCUUGGAUCCUCCUGUCACAACAGAAGCUCAGGCUGUUAGUGUGAAGGACAGAAGGAAGAAGGGUACAUCACAUUCUGCUGCACAGAUGCACACAUUACUGGUUAAGGAGUUGUAUAAACUAAAUCUCAAGGAAAUGUUAUACUUGGACCGCCAGAUUAAAAAGACAGAUCUAGAAACUGAAAUUCUCAAACAAAAGCUGGAGGUGAGUGUAUAGUUAAAGGUGAAUUGUAUGAAUUAUUGGAAGAAUCAUAAAAUCUAACAAUUGCCUUUGUAUUUGUAGGAAAUGAAGAAAACCAAAUAAAUUAUGAUUUGCAUUUA
This is a long non-coding RNA of Betta splendens (Siamese fighting fish), 637 nucleotides long. RefSeq lists it as uncharacterized. The record is from RefSeq and is a predicted model, not a curated record. Lineage: Eukaryota; Metazoa; Chordata; Actinopteri; Anabantiformes; Osphronemidae. The transcript is spliced from 5 exons.